UCGCCUUCACUGACGUCAAGCAUAACCCUGCACAGACCUUCUCUCCUUUUUUCCAAGGUGUUUUCCUCGUAUUUGUUUUUUUUGUUUGCGUUUCACUUCUCCUUGGUCGUGCGUGUGUGUGCGCGCGCUUCUCUUUCAAAGAGAACUCUGUGCGGCGGUGUAGACGUUUGCGUCCACGACGGGCUCUCCGUCGCUUCGGUUUCGCGCCCGAAGCGACCUCCUCCGGUGUCCUCGCAGAAUUCUUUGUUUGAUAACGACGCCGCGCGCGUGCGCUGGUGGCCGCGCCCUUUCACAGUUCGCGUGGACAGUUGAGAAAAAAAAAAGAGGAGCACCCACGCAAGCCCACAUCGCCCACCCUCACCAAAGUAGAAGAGCAAACCGCGAGAAGCAGCAGCAGAGAAAGCACGCACAGGACACACAGGCACGCACGCAAGCGUGUACGCAGUCGCCCCACGUGCGUGUUCUUUAUACUUUUAACGGUUUCCUUUUCGGCCCUCCGUGUCUUUUUGUUUGUGCUCUCCUCACUCCUUCCCCCUCUUGGUCAACGCAUCUUCUCUUUUUUGUUUUUGUUCAUUGUCGCCUCUGACGCUGACCUCGUCUCGUCAUCGCCGUCAUCAUCAUAG
RNAcentral lists this unclassified non-coding RNA (623 nucleotides) under Leishmania donovani. RNAcentral describes it as "gene:unknown". Lineage: Eukaryota; Euglenozoa; Kinetoplastea; Trypanosomatida; Trypanosomatidae. The record is from RNAcentral.